RNAcentral lists this ribosomal RNA (254 nucleotides) under uncultured bacterium. RNAcentral's name for it is "partial 16S ribosomal RNA". It matches the Rfam family "Bacterial small subunit ribosomal RNA", at positions 524 to 777 of the family's 1533-position model. The record is from RNAcentral.
UACGUAGGGUGCGAGCGUUGUCCGGAAUUAUUGGGCGUAAAGGGCGCGUAGGCGGCUUUGUAAGUCAGAUGUGAAAUCCCAGGGCUUAACCCUGGAAGUGCAUCUGAUACUGCUUGGCUUGAGUGCUGGAGAGGGUGGUGGAAUUCCUGGUGUAGAGGUGAAAUUCGUAGAUAUCAGGAGGAACACCGGUGGCGAAGGCGACCACCUGGACAGACACUGACGCUGAGGCGCGAAAGCGUGGGGAGCAAACAGGG